Molecule: ribosomal RNA, 501 nt
Filed under: Triticum aestivum (bread wheat)
Lineage: Eukaryota; Viridiplantae; Streptophyta; Magnoliopsida; Poales; Poaceae
Description: partial small subunit ribosomal RNA
Source: RNAcentral
AUGGCUGGAGCGCGUCCGUCGGAGCAGUCCCUUGCUGUCUCUGGCUCAACGCGGGCUCCCGGCCGGCCCCAGCGCAGGCGGCCACAAUUCCCGCUCUACGCCGAGCUCGGCGCGCUGCUCCCCGGCGACCUCUCUCGGGCGAACCAGGUGGAGAUCUUGGACGCGGCGGUGGCGCACCUGAAGGUGCUGGCGGACACGGCGGCUGUGCUCGAGGCGUACAGGGCGCUUCAGCGCGACGCGGGGCCUGUGCGCCCAGCAGCCGUCGAGGUGGCGUCACGGGAGGCGGUCUGCAUAGCCGUGCGGCUGCCGCCGCCGGUGGCGGCGCGUCCGGGCGCGCUGACGCGCUUGCUCGAAGUGUUCGAUCGGCGCGGACUGGAGGUCCUGGGGGUCACUGUGACGCGCGACGGGCGUGCCGACACUGCCGACGUCAUGGUCACUGCGGCCGCCGCGGCGCCGGAGGUCGUCGAGCUCAUCAAGGCGGAGAUCGCUGGCAUCAAGUGA